GCCGAAGCCACUGACAGCUUGACAGAUGGAUCAAACUCAGCAGAAGAAGACAGAUCGAAGCCAAGAGGCCGAUCGGUCCAAACAUCGUCCUGGCCUGCAGAACCAGAACAGAGCAGCAGUGUAUUUACAGGACUGAUGGACCUCUUGGCUCCGUCCUCCUCUGCUGACUCGUCUCCAUCCGUCAAGCUGUCCUUGUCCUCGGGUCUCGGUCUCGUUAGGCUGCAGCUCGUAGCCUCGAUCUGUCAGAGGAUGAUGAGUGUCUCCUGAAAGCAUCCACGGCUUCAUGUGUGGGAAUAUUUCUACCGGAGGAGUCGAGUUUCCUCCAGAGCCACUAUAAACAUCCCACAGAGGAGAAUUCUUUAACACAAAAAGACCUGAGAGAUGAAGAACAACGACCUCCAUCUGCACUUCAGUCAGAAAACCAGGAGAAUGGAGGCGAGAAAAUGGAAAAAAUACUCAAUGAAAUCUAGUUUUUCUGUUUACAUUUUUAAAAAAUAAACUUAUCUGUAUCUUC
This is a long non-coding RNA of Amphiprion ocellaris (clown anemonefish), 514 nucleotides long. RefSeq lists it as uncharacterized. The record is from RefSeq and is a predicted model, not a curated record. The transcript is spliced from 2 exons. Lineage: Eukaryota; Metazoa; Chordata; Actinopteri; Pomacentridae.